RNAcentral lists this non-coding RNA (45 nucleotides) under Schistosoma margrebowiei. The record is from RNAcentral. Lineage: Eukaryota; Metazoa; Platyhelminthes; Trematoda; Strigeidida; Schistosomatidae.
UGCCAGUUGACGAGUCCCAAAUAGGACGAAACGCGCAUCAUGGAU